AGUCGAGCGCGCCUUUCGGGGUGAGCGGCGGACGGGUUAGUAACGCGUGGGAAUAUACCCUUUGGUACGGAAUAGCCUCUGGAAACGGAGAGUAAUACCGUAUGUGCCCUUCGGGGGAAAGAUUUAUCGCCAAAGGAUUAGCCCGCGUUAGAUUAGGUAGUUGGUGGGGUAAUGGCCUACCAAGCCUACGAUCUAUAGCUGGUUUUAGAGGAUGAUCAGCAACACUGGGACUGAGACACGGCCCAGACUCCUACGGGAGGCAGCAGUGGGGAAUCUUGGACAAUGGGGGCAACCCUGAUCCAGCCAUGCCGCGUGAGUGAUGAAGGCCUUAGGGUCGUAAAGCUCUUUCGCCUGUGAAGAUAAUGACGGUAGCAGGUAAAGAAACCCCGGCUAACUCCGUGCCAGCAGCCGCGGUAAUACGGAGGGGGUUAGCGUUGUUCGGAAUUACUGGGCGUAAAGCGCACGUAGGCGGACUGGAAAGUUGGGGGUGAAAUCCCAGGGCUCAACCCUGGAACUGCCUCCAAAACUAUCAGUCUAGAGUUCGAGAGAGGUGAGUGGAAUUCC
Molecule: ribosomal RNA, 564 nt
Filed under: Ruegeria sp. AU510_Ted3_MB
Lineage: Bacteria; Pseudomonadati; Pseudomonadota; Alphaproteobacteria; Rhodobacterales; Roseobacteraceae
Description: bacterial SSU rRNA
Rfam family: Bacterial small subunit ribosomal RNA
Source: RNAcentral